GGUCGGUUAGCUCAGUUGGAAGAGCGCCACGUUGACAUCGUGGAGGUCGUUGGUUCGAGCCCAAUAUCGACUACCA
RNAcentral lists this transfer RNA (76 nucleotides) under Tissierella sp. Yu-01. Its description in RNAcentral is "tRNA-Val". It matches the Rfam family "tRNA". Rfam says of the family: Transfer RNA (tRNA) molecules are approximately 80 nucleotides in length. Their secondary structure includes four short double-helical elements and three loops (D, anti-codon, and T loops). Lineage: Bacteria; Bacillati; Bacillota; Tissierellia; Tissierellales; Tissierellaceae. The record is from RNAcentral.